Molecule: ribosomal RNA, 440 nt
Filed under: uncultured bacterium
Lineage: Bacteria
Description: partial 16S ribosomal RNA
Rfam family: Bacterial small subunit ribosomal RNA
Source: RNAcentral
CCUACGGGUGGCAGCAGUGGGGAAUAUUGCACAAUGGGGGAAACCCUGAUGCAGCGACGCCGCGUGAGUGAAGAAGUAAUUCGUCAUGUAAAGCUCUAUCAGCAGGGAAGAAAAUGACGGUACCUGAGUAAGAAGCCCCGGCUAACUACGUGCCAGCAGCCGCGGUAAUACGUAGGGGGCAAGCGUUAUCCGGAUUUACUGGGUGUAAAGGGAGCGUAGACGGCAGUGCAAGCCAGGAGUGAAAGGCCGGGGCUCAACCCCGGGACUGCUCUGGAAACUGUACGGCUGGAGUGCAGGAGGGGUAGGCGGAAUUCCUGGUGUAGCGGUGAAAUGCGUAGAUAUUAGGAGGAACACCAGUGGCGAAGGCGGCUUGCUGGACUGUAACUGACGUUGAGGCUCGAAAGCGUGGGGAGCAAACAGGAUUAGAUACCCCGGUAGUC